This is a long non-coding RNA of Pygocentrus nattereri (red-bellied piranha), 2970 nucleotides long. RefSeq lists it as uncharacterized. NCBI's taxonomy places the organism in Eukaryota, Metazoa, Chordata, Actinopteri, Characiformes, Serrasalmidae. The transcript is spliced from 5 exons. The record is from RefSeq and is a predicted model, not a curated record.
AGAAUCAAACCAGACAGAGGAUCAAAGGCAGGCAGAGGCAAAGUAAUAAGCAAGAGAAGCAUGCCGCUAUUUCAAAAAAAGGCUUUGGCCAUCAAUCCAUGUUUGUUCCCUGAUGAAGAAGUUACAUCAUUUGAGUGGGACUUCAUCUGAGCUCCAGGGUGGACAGGACAGACCUGGAUGAAAAUCAAAGAGGGAAUUUUCAGUUGCUGUUGCCCAUAGUGAUAGUUGGUAAGUGCCAUGGAACGGAUGCUGGUGUUGGACCCUGACAGGCAUGUGAGUGCUGCUGAAGCUCUGGAGCUCUCAAUGUUCUCAGAGUUCAGAGAGCCAGAGGAGGAGACAGAGGCGCUACCCUAUGAUCAUUCCAUGGACAACACUGACCUACCUCUGGAGCAGUGGAAAUGUAAGGAGUGGGGAGGGGGAGCAGAAAUCAAGGAAGCAAAAGAAAGAAAAAGCAAAAAGCAAAGAGGGAGAGAUGAAUAGAUUGAUGAAUCAGAUUGUAUGAGAGAUUGGUAAAGACAGAUAGUAUGAGUGAGAACAUAGAGGGGUGAUAAAAAGAGUGGCAGAUGGAGGAAGAGAGAGUGAAUUAAAGAGAGAUGAUUAACUGAUGGCAGCAGUGGAACCAAAUGCCACAUCUUGCCAGACAUGAGUUCACAUUUUCUCCUCUUCUCUGUCUCCCUCUACAGGUCACACCUUUACAGAGAUCCUCUUAUUCCAGCCUCCACUCAUAGAGCUCAGAGACUCCAAAGAGACUUCUCUCUGAGUGCACAAGGCUUUUUGUCAUGUUUCAUAUGUCAUUAAAACAGCAGAAUCACUCUGGAACAGUUUAGUUUACUUUUCGUUCUUGUUUUUUGUGUAGGUUGUAUAUCUUUAUUAAAUACUUUAGAAAGACAUUAAGCAGUUUCUGAAUGAAAUGUGUAGAAUCAGAAUGUUGGCCGGUAUUUAAUGUGAACAAAGAUGUUGGAAUAUUGCUGCACUUUACUAAUUUGUUUCUACAUUGAUCACUGUACACAGUAUUGGGAAGAAUACUGAAUGAAUCUCAGAGUUACUCAGAGUAAUAUAUAUUACAACAUGAACUAGUCUGUGUAGUAAUAACAUAGCAGCGGGUUAAAGGUAUUAGAGGAAAUGAUUCCUCCUUUGUAGACGAGUCAUGUAUCACCUAACGAAAAACGGCUCCGUAGUUUUUUCUAACCGUUAACAGUCGCAGUUCAACGCUGUGCCUUUUCCAGACAUACAAAUUGGUUAAAACCUUUAAAAUAUUAGAAUCCAACAUGAGAAAUCUAUAUAUGUACCUGUACAUAAACCUGUAUUCAAAAGUUUGUGCACCCCUGGUCAGGUAACAUGUUUUCUUGAUUUUCUAAGUGAAAAUAACUUUAUCUACAGAGAACAUACUUCUGCACAUUGUAAUGAACAACUUAUUGGGAAAAGGUAAAGCAUGUGGCCUGUGUAAAUGGCACAGGCCUAUGGCAUUUUUUAGAUUUUAUAUUUGAUAUUUUUCAUGUUAAAUUUUAGGCAAAAAAAAAGUACAAAAAUGGCACAAUGAAUGUCUGUAGACAAUGUGUAACUGACUUUCACUGAGAAUAUCAACUAAUAUUCAGUUUGACGAGGUGUGUUUGUGUUUAAACGUUUGCGUAUGCAUGUAUAAUUUAGUAAUUCUUGAGAUAAUCAUUUUUCUUCUGAUGUAUUUAUUUUGCAUUCAUCAUGAGGAGAGGUGAAAACCCUACAAAGAAGACCUUCCUUCCUGAACUGAGGAACAUUCCAGAACAUCCCUCUAACCCCCUUGCUGGUAGAUGCCGAGCCAGUAAGCUCAGUGACCAAGAGUCAAAGGCACUGCCUGAGCAGGUGCGUGAAUGCAGAGUCCACAAUUGCUGGAGCCUCCUGGAGGAUCACAGAACCUCAGAACCUCCGUAAACACGUCUUUGGGCUGCUUGGAACCCCUGACACAAGAAAAGAGAGAAGUGAUGGAGUCCAAAAGAUAUAUGAGCAGCAACAAUCUUCUAUCAGAAAGCCACAGCCCCCCACCAGCAAACCAAAAACAUCAAAGAAAGGCUGGACCAAUCGCAGACUGCACCUGCUAAUCUCUGCCGAACCUGUGAAGAAUAUGCGCGUCCUCUUGAGUCUGUUCCAGUGAAUCCAACAUCUGGAAAUGCACCAGAAACAGUGGAGAACAGCUCUAGUGAGAAGAGGACUGAUGGGGUAAAGAACUACUCUUGGUUGUGUGAGAAAGCAGGUGUAGAGGGUGAGGUUUUUUAUCAGGAUUUGGAGAGCCUGACACCCGAAACAUCAACAAACACAACAAGAGCAUCAGAACCAUUCGCCGGGUUAAGACACUGCCUGUGGUCCCCAUCAUCCCCAAAGGGCCGGAACCGGAUCAUGCUGACGUCUUAUCUAAGAGCACAGCAAAGGAAUGACGGAGGAAGAUUUGGCUUUGGUGGCAGGAAACUCAUCACCCUGGACCUGCCACACCCCCUUCCUUUUAAACCUGUGACCCAAAACCCCACUCAGACUCGUAGGAUCAUGAUGCAGUGAGCUUGGGGUCGCCCAGCCUGCCCACCAGAGGAAAGACUACUGUACUGACCGCUGUGCACCUGACAUCAAUCCCUCAGAGUGCUCAACACUCACCUCCUGGUCCCUUCUCAGCUCUAUAUGGACAGGCAGGCUGAGCUCAGAGACUCACUUGUGUAUCUGGAGAGGUGGUUGAGUAAGCAGAACGUUCUGUAGCUCCAGAUCAUCUCAACACACAGGUUGAGCUGAACUGUCACGAUUGGCCCCUCCCAGUCCUGUCCAUGUGUUUGUGUUUUGGUUUAGCCCCCUUGUUUCCACCUGAUUGUUUCCACCUGUCCCUCAUCAGCCCUGUUGUAUUUGCCCUUUGUUUGUCCUUUUGUCUGGGCUGGUCUAUGUUAUCUGCUGUGUUGGUUGUAUUGGUCUUUGUUUGUAUGUUCGAUUCUGGUUUAUGUCAUGUAUGCCCCCCGA